UACGUAGGGGGCAAGCGUUGUCCGGAAUCAUUGGGCGUAAAGCGCGUGUAGGCGGUUACGUCAGUCUGCUGUGAAAGUCGGAGGCUCAACCUUCGAAAGCCGGUGGAUACUGCGUGACUAGAGUACGGAAGAGGAGAGUGGAAUUCCUGGUGUAGCGGUGAAAUGCGCAGAUAUCAGGAGGAACACCGGUGGCGAAGGCGGGUCUCUGGGCCGAUACUGACGCUGAGGAGCGAAAGCGUGGGGAGCGAACAGG
This 253-nucleotide ribosomal RNA is filed under the name uncultured bacterium. RNAcentral's name for it is "partial 16S ribosomal RNA". It matches the Rfam family "Bacterial small subunit ribosomal RNA", at positions 524 to 776 of the family's 1533-position model. The record is from RNAcentral.